RNAcentral lists this ribosomal RNA (458 nucleotides) under Flavobacterium sp. Air234. RNAcentral's name for it is "bacterial SSU rRNA". It matches the Rfam family "Bacterial small subunit ribosomal RNA", at positions 75 to 533 of the family's 1533-position model. The record is from RNAcentral. Lineage: Bacteria; Pseudomonadati; Bacteroidota; Flavobacteriia; Flavobacteriales; Flavobacteriaceae.
GUUCUUCGGAACUAGAGACCGGCGCACGGGUGCGUAACGCGUAUGCAAUCUACCUUUUACAGAGGGAUAGCCCAGAGAAAUUUGGAUUAAUACCUCAUAGUAUAUAGCCCUGGCAUCAGGAUUAUAUUAAAGUCACAACGGUAAAAGAUGAGCAUGCGUCCCAUUAGCUAGUUGGUAAGGUAACGGCUUACCAAGGCUACGAUGGGUAGGGGUCCUGAGAGGGAGAUCCCCCACACUGGUACUGAGACACGGACCAGACUCCUACGGGAGGCAGCAGUGAGGAAUAUUGGACAAUGGGCGCAAGCCUGAUCCAGCCAUGCCGCGUGCAGGAUGACGGUCCUAUGGAUUGUAAACUGCUUUUAUACGAGAAGAAACACUCCGACGUGUCGGAACUUGACGGUAUCGUAAGAAUAAGGAUCGGCUAACUCCGUGCCAGCAGCCGCGGUAAUACGGAGGAU